This 460-nucleotide ribosomal RNA is filed under the name uncultured bacterium. RNAcentral describes it as "partial 16S ribosomal RNA". It matches the Rfam family "Bacterial small subunit ribosomal RNA", at positions 338 to 795 of the family's 1533-position model. The record is from RNAcentral.
CCUACGGGAGGCAGCAGUGAGGAAUAUUGGUCAAUGGGCGCGAGCCUGACCCAGCCAAGUAGCGUGAAGGAUGACUGCCCUACGGGCUGUAAACUUCUUUUAUAAAGGAAUAAAGUGAGGCACGUGUGCCUCUUUGUAUGUACUUUAUGAAUAAGGAUCGGCUAACUCGGGGCCAGCAGCCGCGGUAAUACGGAGGAUCCGAGCGUUAUCCGGAUUUGUUGGGUUUAAAGGGAGCGUAGGUGGGUUGUUAAGUCAGUGGUGAAAGUUUGCGGCUCAACCGUAAAAUUGCAAUUGAUACUGGCAGUCUGGAGUGCAGUUGAGGAAAGCGGAAUUCGUGGUGUAGCAGUGAAAUGCGUAGAUAUCACGAAGAACUCCGAUGGCGAAGGCAGCUAACUAAACUGCCACUGACAUUGAUGCUCGAAAGUGUGGGUAUCAAACAGGAUUAGAUACCCGAGUAGUC